Molecule: small nuclear RNA, 107 nt
Organism: Jaculus jaculus (lesser Egyptian jerboa)
Lineage: Eukaryota; Metazoa; Chordata; Mammalia; Rodentia; Dipodidae
Source: RefSeq, a predicted model, not a curated record
GUGCUCACUUCGGCAGCAUAGCUACUAGAAUUGGAACAAUACAAAGAAGAUUAUCAUGGUCUCUGCACAAGGAUAACACACAAAUUCAUGAAGCUUUCCAUAUUUUU